This 1270-nucleotide long non-coding RNA is filed under the name Homo sapiens (human). RNAcentral describes it as "PREDICTED lncRNA (TCONS_00082248)". Lineage: Eukaryota; Metazoa; Chordata; Mammalia; Primates; Hominidae. The record is from RNAcentral.
AUCACAGAACAGGCAGAGGCAGUUCAGGGGUAUUCUGGUUGCCUUACCCAGCUCUGAAGUCUGUCAGCCUCUUCAGAUGUCACUUGCCAUGUGGUAAGGAAGUGUAGUCAGCAGCUGGUGCAGUGGGAAGAAGAGAAAGGAAGUUCCCCAAGACAAAAACAUCUCGGCAGACCGUGAUCAUGGGCUACAUUCUCCGUACCAGCUUCAUAGCUCCAGUGAGAAAAUAAAUUCCUGCAUCCAGGAGAUGUGGAGUAAGAGAUACAGCUGCCCUUGACCAUAUUUCUUACUUCCGAGAAGAUCGUAGCAGUAAUUCAGUCUUCAGGGAACACCAAGGCCUGUUUGAUUUUCCAAGUAUCAACAAGUGGAGUUGACAAGAGUGACAAGUGGUCAGAGCAAAGCAUUUCAUGAUGACUGUAACGUGCCUGUGUCAGCAGCGACUGCUUACAGUGAGAUUCACAUGACCAUCGUUUAUGACAUAGGAAGAAUAAAAGGAGAGAGAGAGAGAAAGAUAGGUAGUUGAUCAAAAUGAAGAAUUGGAUUUGGAAAGCAACUUCGAAUAGUCUCUGCUUAUAUUUCUGAGAUUAAGGCAAACAGUCUCAAGAAUCUCAUCCAGGAUACCUCAUCACAGGCUGGAGUGCAGUGUCAUGAGCUUGGCUCACUACAGCCUCCAUCUUCUGUGCUUAAGGAUCCUUCCCUCUCAACCUCCAAGGUAGCUGAGACUACAGGCAACAUUCGAAACCCAGGUGCCACUCCUUCAGGAAGGUACCAUCAAGCUCCAAGGACUCAUCCUCUUUCUCCUUCCCCACUACCUAGUCAUUAGAGCGUCAGCAUCCACUUCCUGAAAGGAAGAUGCCUGUUUUUCACAUAUCCCAGAAAGCCUCAUUUUAGGACAGCAUUUAGCAGAGUGUAUUCAGGAUCCCACUAACCUUUUCGGAAGACAUGACUUCCAGAUGAUAUAAGGCUCCAUCAGGAACUGUGCAGGACUGUGCACUCUGUUGAUACUCACAUGGUGGAAUUAUAUUGCCCUUGGCCAACCCUAAAGCCAUCAAGAUAGCAGGUUUGGAAUAAUUCACUGUCGAAGUCUUCUUGAGCUGAGCAGUCAUGUGAGCUUGGAAGAUGAUCCCUCUCCAGCUGAUCCUUCAGCUCAGGCCAUCAUCUACAUCUGGAUUCCUGACCCGGAGAAACUAUGAGUAAUGUGUGCUGCUUUUGAGCCACUAAGCUACAUGGUAAUAGGCUAUGCUUCAAUAAACAAUAAUACACUUGAUGAUAA